CUGGGUGAGGGGAGUCCGCUCUGCGGCUCCACCACACUACCUACAGAACAGGAUGUGCAGGAGCGUUCUCCAGACUAUAGAAGAUAAGAUCUUCUGAUGAUACCAUGUACUGUAGAAGACGAGAUAUUCACCAUUUCCACAAUUUUACAUUGAGGAACAUUAUUCUGAAAUUUUUCCAUAAUUAAUAGACCUUGUUUUUCUGCUGACUAAUGAACUUCUGCCCAUCUUUAAUCCUCAGAAACUCUGCAGCUCUAAUGUGCUCUUUACACCCAAUGGUGUAAUUGAUCUGUUGCCAAUUAACCUACUUAGUUGCAAAACUGAACUUCAGCUGUUUCUUUUUAGUGCUACUUACUUUUCCAGCCUUUUGUUGUCCCUGUACCAAUAUUACAGAGAAACUGUACCUCUGUUGCUGAGCUGAGCUGAUAUUUUUAAUAAACCAAAGUAAAACGUCUCUGUUUAAACAUUU
Oreochromis aureus is the source of this 466-nucleotide long non-coding RNA. RefSeq lists it as uncharacterized. NCBI's taxonomy places the organism in Eukaryota, Metazoa, Chordata, Actinopteri, Cichliformes, Cichlidae. The record is from RefSeq and is a predicted model, not a curated record. The transcript has 2 exons.